GAUGAACGCUGACAGAAUGCUUAACACAUGCAAGUCUACUUGAUCCUUCGGGUGAUGGUGGCGGACGGGUGAGUAACGCGUAAAGAACUUGCCCUGCAGUCUAGGACAACAUUUGGAAACGAAUGCUAAUACCGGAUAUUAUGUGAGUUUCGCAUGAAAUUCAUAUGAAAGCUAUAUGCGCUGCAGGAGAGCUUUGCGUCCUAUUAGCUAGUUGGUGAGGUAACGGCUCACCAAGGCGAUGAUAGGUAGCCGGCCUGAGAGGGUGAACGGCCACAAGGGGACUGAGACACGGCCCUUACUCCUACGGGAGGCAGCAGUGGGGAAUAUUGGACAAUGGACCAAAAGUCUGAUCCAGCAAUUCUGUGUGCACGAUGAAGUUUUUCGGAAUGUAAAGUGCUUUCAGUUGGGACGAAGUAAGUGACGGUACCAACAGAAGAAGCGACGGCUAAAUACGUGCCAGCAGCCGCGGUAAUACGUAUGUCGCAAGCGUUAUCCGGAUUUAUUGGGCGUAAAGCGCGUCUAGGCGGUUUGGUAAGUCUGAUGUGAAAAUGCGGGGCUCAACCCCGUAUUGCGUUGGAAACUGCCAAACUAGAGUACUGGAGGGGUGGGCGGAACUACAAGUGUAGAGGUGAAAUUCGUAGAUAUUUGUAGGAAUGCCGAUGGAGAAGUCAGCCCACUGGACAGAUACUGACGCUGAAGCGCGAAAGCGUGGGUAGCAAACAGGGUUAGAUACCCUGGUAGUC
RNAcentral lists this ribosomal RNA (743 nucleotides) under uncultured bacterium. RNAcentral's name for it is "bacterial SSU rRNA". It matches the Rfam family "Bacterial small subunit ribosomal RNA", at positions 28 to 795 of the family's 1533-position model. The record is from RNAcentral.